This is a long non-coding RNA of Anas platyrhynchos (mallard), 1594 nucleotides long. RefSeq lists it as uncharacterized. The record is from RefSeq and is a predicted model, not a curated record. NCBI's taxonomy places the organism in Eukaryota, Metazoa, Chordata, Aves, Anseriformes, Anatidae.
UGACGUGUGGACGUUUCUGAGCAAGCUAAGUUACAAAUGAUUUGAGUAGAAAUAGAAGUUUUGUUAUUUUUCUCUGGUACUUUUAGCUUUUUUUCUAGAAUUUUAUUGAUAUUACUUCAUGCAUAGCUGGAAACCAAGAAAUCCUUUCCUAAGAGGCUUGAGGAACAAAAUGCCUUUGAAGUUUCUGCAGACAUGGUGUCACAGAAGGCACAGGGGCUGCUUGAAGCUGCUUGGAGGUUUAGAGCGUCAAAGUCAUGUCAGCAGAGAUGGAUUAGUGGGCAGAGAGCAAGUGGUGCAGUCAAAGGAUCACAGUGAAUGUAAUUUAUUCACGUAGCUCCGCAAUUUAUCACGUGGCUAUUACCAUAAUGUACGUGGGAAGCAGCUGCAUGCAUGCACAUAAUGCCUUAAAUGUAUGUGUGGUUGGACCUGAACUCCUUACAGAACAGUAGUGGUUGCAAAUGAUACCAUAAGGCGUUUAAAAGCAAAUUUCCUUCCUGUGGGGAUUCUGUCACACAGCGAUGAUGAUUUGUACACAGGCAAACAAAUGUCUUGUAGACUGUUCCCUCACCUACCAGAACUCAUGUUUUUUUCAAACCUAAAUCAUCUGGGUAACGUGAUGUAAAUUUCCAGUGCUUUAUUAAUAUAUAUGUUUUGUGCCUCAAGCUCCCAUUCUGUAGUAAAGGAAUACCACAUCUUCCACUUAUUUAUUUCUGUAAAAUAUUUAUUUCUGUAAAAUACUAAGUAUUUGUGAGAAGAAAAAAGUUAUCUGCAAGUUGAAAAUUUCCUCCAAUCUCACUGACCUCUUAGAGCACAAUCUAUCAAAUACUCAGGAGCGGCACAGCUGUAAAAGGCUGAUAUAUGCUGCCUGCCUCAUUUCUCAUACCUGUACAAUUAUUUACCAAGCCCAGCAUUUCCAAAAUUGUUUUCUAAUUUUAGGAGCAUCCAAAUUAAGGAACUUGACUUUAGUCUUUCUUAGUUGACCUGAAUGCCUGCAGUCUCAGUUAAAGAAAAAAAAUCUCUUAACUGUUUGUAGAGCCAGCCCCUAUAUGAAGAGCUUUCUUACGCUUCCCGUGCACACAAAUGUGCAUACGUGCUGCCUGGGGUACCCGGGCUCCAAUAACGUUGUCUGUGCCAGUGCAGGCUUGCCCAAAAAGCUCCAGCAGCACAGCUCCCACCACCACUUUUGAGCUUCUGCAGCUUGAGCAAACCAUGAGAAACGAUGCUGAAUUAUACAGUGCUACGAUGCUUUCAGGUGACUGUAUUAGAAGCAAUUCACUGAAUACUUUCGUGAUCCAGGCAAAUAUGGUUAGGGGUUAACUGACUACGAGUUUUAUGCUGCUUUCUUUUAAGUCAUUAAAAGUUGACCUAAAGACACAGCGAAUUGAGACCAAGUCAAGCUAGGCCCCAAUAAUAAGAACACCACAUUGCCCAGCUUAAUGUACUGCUUGGCAUCUGUUUAGCACAACCCUCUCACAUUCAGAACACGAGGCAGAUUUUCCAGGACAUUUGUAUGUGUGCUACAGGACUUCCAUUUUGCAGCCAUCUAGCACAAGUAUAUAUCCGCUAGUUAUGAAAAUUAAAAGCUUGCCUUACC